Molecule: ribosomal RNA, 164 nt
Filed under: uncultured bacterium
Lineage: Bacteria
Description: partial 16S rRNA
Rfam family: Bacterial small subunit ribosomal RNA
Source: RNAcentral
GGAAUCUUCCACAAUGGACGCAAGUCUGAUGGAGCAACGCCGCGUGAGUGAAGAAGGUCUUCGGAUCGUAAAACUCUGUUGUUAGAGAAGAACACGAGUGAGAGUAACUGUUCAUUCGAUGACGGUAUCUAACCAGCAAGUCACGGCUAACUACGUGCCAGCAG